RNAcentral lists this transfer RNA (91 nucleotides) under Anaerolineales bacterium. RNAcentral's name for it is "tRNA-Ser". It matches the Rfam family "tRNA". Rfam says of the family: Transfer RNA (tRNA) molecules are approximately 80 nucleotides in length. Their secondary structure includes four short double-helical elements and three loops (D, anti-codon, and T loops). Further hydrogen bonds mediate the characteristic L-shaped molecular structure. tRNAs have two regions of fundamental functional importance: the anti-codon, which is responsible for specific mRNA codon recognition, and the 3' end, to which the tRNAs corresponding amino acid is attached (by aminoacyl-tRNA synthetases). tRNAs cope with the degeneracy of the genetic code in two manners: having more than one tRNA (with a specific anti-codon) for a particular amino acid; and 'wobble' base-pairing, i.e. permitting non-standard base-pairing at the 3rd anti-codon position. Lineage: Bacteria; Bacillati; Chloroflexota; Anaerolineae; Anaerolineales. The record is from RNAcentral.
GGAGAGGUGCCAGAGCGGCCGAAUGGGGCGGUCUCGAAAACCGUUGUGGACCCUGUGUCCACCGUGGGUUCGAAUCCCACCCUCUCCGCCA